This is a long non-coding RNA of Terrapene triunguis (Three-toed box turtle), 383 nucleotides long. RefSeq lists it as uncharacterized. The transcript has 3 exons. The record is from RefSeq and is a predicted model, not a curated record. NCBI's taxonomy places the organism in Eukaryota, Metazoa, Chordata, Testudines, Emydidae.
GACAGGACUGGAACUAUUUCUGCAGCUUCUGGGAGCCUGAUGCUAAGCAAUGUGACAACAUAAAUCUGAAAACAUUAUUACUGUUGGAAACAACUGGAAAAAUUUCUCAGGGGACAUAUUUUCACUUAUUCACACCUUCUACCGUGGCAAAAAUGGACUAUUUUCCUCACCGAAAACCAGCAGUAUAAUGCCCAUCUGAUACAUGCCUCAAGGAACUCUUAUUUAAAAUCUGUUGAAAAUGGAUGUCUUGUAGCCUACCAACAAAUCCUGCUACUGCUGCAUGUGUGGCAGCACUUCUACAUGAUCACAUGACUCUUGAUAUGGACGCGGUCCUGUCAGACUUUGUUCGGUCCACAGGGGCAGAACCAGGUCUGGCAAGAGAC